Molecule: ribosomal RNA, 700 nt
Filed under: uncultured bacterium
Lineage: Bacteria
Description: bacterial SSU rRNA
Rfam family: Bacterial small subunit ribosomal RNA
Source: RNAcentral
AGUGGCGGACGGGUGAGUAACGCGUAAGAAUCUAACUUCAGGACGGGGACAACAGUUGGAAACGACUGCUAAUACCCGAUGUGCCGCAAGGUGAAACCUAAUUGGCCUGGAGAAGAGCUUGCGUCUGAUCAGCUAGUUGGUGGGGUAAAGGCCUACCAAGGCGACGAUCAGUAGCUGGUCUGAGAGGAUGAGCAGCCACACUGGGACUGAGACACGGCCCAGACUCCUACGGGAGGCAGCAGUGGGGAAUUUUCCGCAAUGGGCGAAAGCCUGACGGAGCAACGCCGCGUGAGGGAGGAAGGUCUUUGGAUUGUAAACCUCUUUUCUCAAGGAAGAAGUUCUGACGGUACUUGAGGAAUCAGCCUCGGCUAACUCCGUGCCAGCAGCCGCGGUAAUACGGGGGAGGCAAGCGUUAUCCGGAAUUAUUGGGCGUAAAGCGUCCGCAGGUGGUCAGCCAAGUCUGCCGUCAAAUCAGGUUGCUUAACGACCUAAAGGCGGUGGGAACUGGCAGACUAGAGAGCAGUAGGGGUAGCAGGAAUUCCCAGUGUAGCGGUGAAAUGCGUAGAGAUUGGGAAGAACAUCGGUGGCGAAAGCGUGCUACUGGGCUGUAUCUGACACUCAGGGACGAAAGCUAGGGGAGCGAAAGGGAUUAGAUACCCCUGUAGUCCUAGCCGUAAACGAUGGAUACUAGGCGUGGCUU